Molecule: ribosomal RNA, 960 nt
Filed under: Epicoccum sp.
Lineage: Eukaryota; Fungi; Ascomycota; Dothideomycetes; Pleosporales; Didymellaceae
Description: partial large subunit ribosomal RNA
Rfam family: Eukaryotic large subunit ribosomal RNA
Source: RNAcentral
ACAGGGAUUGCCCUAGUAACGGCGAGUGAAGCGGCAACAGCUCAAAUUUGAAAUCUGGCGUCUUUGGCGUCCGAGUUGUAAUUUGCAGAGGGCGCUUUGGCAUUGGCAGCGGUCCAAGUUCCUUGGAACAGGACGUCACAGAGGGUGAGAAUCCCGUACGUGGUCGCUAGCCUUUACCGUGUAAAGCCCCUUCGACGAGUCGAGUUGUUUGGGAAUGCAGCUCUAAAUGGGAGGUAAAUUUCUUCUAAAGCUAAAUACUGGCCAGAGACCGAUAGCGCACAAGUAGAGUGAUCGAAAGAUGAAAAGCACUUUGGAAAGAGAGUUAAAAAGCACGUGAAAUUGUUGAAAGGGAAGCGCUUGCAGCCAGACUUGCCUGUAGUUGCUCAUCCGGGUUUUUACCCGGUGCACUCUUCUACGGGCAGGCCAGCAUCAGUUUGGGCGGUUGGAUAAAGGUCUCUGUCAUGUACCUCCUCUCGGGGAGAUCUUAUAGGGGAGACGACAUGCAACCAGCCUGGACUGAGGUCCGCGCAUCUGCUAGGAUGCUGGCGUAAUGGCUGUAAGCGGCCCGUCUUGAAACACGGACCAAGGAGUCUAACAUCUAUGCGAGUGUUUGGGUGUCAAGCCCGAACGCGUAAUGAAAGUGAACGGAGGUGGGAACCUUUCGGGGUGCACCAUCGACCGAUCCUGAUGUCUUCGGAUGGAUUUGAGUAAGAGCAUAGCUGUUGGGACCCGAAAGAUGGUGAACUAUGCUUGAAUAGGGUGAAGCCAGAGGGAACUCUGGUGGAGGCUCGCAGCGGUUCUGACGUGCAAAUCGAUCGUCAAAUUUGGGCAUAGGGGCGAAAGACUAAUCGAACUAUCUAGUAGCUGGUUCCUGCCGAAGUUUCCCUCAGGAUAGCAGUAACGUUUUCAGUUUUAUGAGGUAAAGCGAAUGAUUAGAGGCCUGGGGGUUGAAACAACCUU